GAUGAACGCUGGCGGCGUGCCUAAUACAUGCAAGUCGAGCGAACAGACGAGGAGCUUGCUCCUCGGACGUUAGCGUCGGACGGGUGGGUAACACGUGGAUAACCUACCUAUAAGACUGGGAUAACUUCGGGGAGCCGGAGCUGGUACCGGGUAAUAUAUUCAACCGCAGGGUUCAAUAGUGCAAGACGUUUUGGCUGACGCUUAUUGAUGGAUCCGCGCCGCAUUAGCUAGUUGGUAAGUUAACCGCUUACCAAAGCUACGAUGCGUAGCCGACGUGACAGGGAGAUCGGCCACACUGGAACUGAGACACGGUCCAGACUCCUACGGGAGGCAGCAGUAGGGAAUCUUACGCGAUGGGCGAAAGCCUGACGGAGCAACGCCGGGUGAGUGAUGAAGGUCUUCGGAUCGUAAAACUCUGUUAUUAGGGAAGAACAAAUGUGUAAGUAACUAUGCACGUCUUGACGGUACCUAAUCAGAAAGCCACGGCUAACUACGUG
Molecule: ribosomal RNA, 497 nt
Filed under: uncultured bacterium
Lineage: Bacteria
Description: partial 16S ribosomal RNA
Rfam family: Bacterial small subunit ribosomal RNA
Source: RNAcentral